Molecule: ribosomal RNA, 330 nt
Filed under: uncultured Geobacillus sp.
Lineage: Bacteria; Bacillati; Bacillota; Bacilli; Caryophanales; Anoxybacillaceae
Description: bacterial SSU rRNA
Rfam family: Bacterial small subunit ribosomal RNA
Source: RNAcentral
AUGGUUGUCGUCAGCUCGUGUCGUGAGAUGUUGGGUUAAGUCCGCACGAGCGCAACCCUCGCCUCUAGUUGCCAGCAUCGUUGGGCACUCUAGAGGGACUGCCGGCGACAAGUCGGAGGAAGUGGGAUGACGUCAAAUCAUCAUGCCCCUUAUGACCUGGGCUACACACGUGCUACAAUGGGCGGUACAAAGGGCUGCGAACCCGCGAGGGGGAGCGAAUCCCAAAAAGCCGCUCUCAGUUCGGAUUGCAGGCUGCAACUCGCCUGCAUGAAGCCGGAAUCGCUAGUAAUCGCGGAUCAGCAUGCCGCGGUGAAUACGUUCCCGGGCCUU